Pristis pectinata (smalltooth sawfish) is the source of this 2185-nucleotide long non-coding RNA. RefSeq lists it as uncharacterized. The transcript has 5 exons. The record is from RefSeq and is a predicted model, not a curated record. Lineage: Eukaryota; Metazoa; Chordata; Chondrichthyes; Rhinopristiformes; Pristidae.
UGCCAACUGAGCCCUCUAGCUUGCCGUACGGAUUGUAUCAAUUAAUGGCGCAACACCAUGGGUGAAGUUGCACCCCCAGCUCCCCGAGUGGGCUUGUGGCAAAUGCAGGGAAGGAGCCAUGAAUAUUGCAAACGAAUAGAUGAAUUGUUCGAACAUUUUCGCAAGACAAGUGCUUAAUUUUGUCAAGACUACAGAGAAGCAGCUUUCUUGUUGCUUUAAUAACAGAUCAUUCCAGGCAUAACAGAACGUAAGAUGUUUUCUUCUUAGAACACAAUUACGUCAGCAGCAGAAGUCGCUCCAAUAAUCAAAAACUUAUUAUUAACCAAAUGGAAGGACUGGAUAGAAGUAUCCUAAAGUUAAAUAUUAAUGAGUUUGCUGCAAUAGGGGCUGGAACAAAGGAUCAAUCCCAGCAUGGUCAAAGAACUUUAAAUCAACAAUUAGACUCCUAGCAAGGGAAUGCCAAGGCCUGAAUUCCAGAAGGCAAGAAUCUUUAUUCCCACUGAAGAUAUUGACUUGCACUUGUUCACUUGGAUCCAUCUUGGUUCGCAGUCUACGCUGAACUUCAAGAGCAUUGGGGAUUGGUCAGCGGUGGUCUUACUAAAUAAUGCAAGGGAGAGAUAAACAGUUGUGCAGAAGCUGGACCCUCAUACCCUGACAGCUGAGGAGGAACAAGAAUAAAAUUUCUAAUUUUUGUCUGGUUAACCAUGAAUCUCAGAUCCCAUGAUCCAUUGUCCUGGAAGUGGUGUGCUGCCAUUGAGAAACCUGAAAUUUAUCACCAAAGCAGUUUUUCAGUUGGAACUUGAUGCUAAACGGCAAGUGGUAACACACAGGAUUGGAAGUAUGGAGUGUUAUUUCCUAUGUGGAGCAACAUUUGAGGAAUGAUUUUUCUGUCACUUCCAGGAAAAGGAAUUCAUCCUUCAUCAUUAAUCUCCUGUUCUGAUGAAAGCUCGUCAAAAUGAAACUUAUUUGGCUUUUCUCCCUGCUGCACGAACUGACGUGUACCUCCAGCAAUGCUGAAGGCCUCACAACUUAUUUUGAGUACAUUCAAGCCAAUGCAAUUGCCUUGUUGUACUUGUUGACCACUAUAACAUGGUAGCACUAUAAUAAACUCAACCACUGUAAGAAGAUAGUCCUUCUCUGUUCCAACCUUUGCUCCAGUUGCUUCCAGCUCCACUCUGACCUAGUUUAAUUUAAACUCCAGUCAAUAUCAUGCGUAAGUCUAUUGCAAGUAGUGCUUUACAGUGUUAAUGAAUUGAACCAGAGUGAUGGUUAAAACCAGGGUGAAGAAUGCAAACUAGCCUCACUGAGAAGAGCUCAGUUGGACUUCAUCGCUGGAAGAGAAGAACAGCCUGAUGUCUUCAUUCAAGAAACUACUCACACACAACUCAGAAAGACCUAGAAGGGUUUAGGUACAACACAGAUAAUACAACCUUAACAAAGUAUUGCUUAUUUACAUUCAGUACACCUCAGCAUAAUGUAAACUACUAUUUAUUACAGCUAUUUCUGCUUGUAACAAAGAGCACUUAAUACGCUAUAAAUUGUAUCUUUAAAGGUGACAUGAAUCUAACUGGAUAAUGGUUUGUGGUUUAAGGCCGAUGUAAGCAAAUUGCUAUUUUAAAUAAAAAUAUUUUAAGUGGUGCGCACAUAGAAGCAUAGGAAGAAGAGUGAGGUAUUCAGUCCCAUUUUAGUGUAUUGUUUUUCUAGUCUUCUUAAAGUGAAUAACCUCACAUUGUCCCACAUUAUGCUCCAUCUCCCACUCUCUUUCCCAUUAACUUAAAUUGGCUUUUCCCUUACCAGACCCUGCAUCCACCUCACAGCUGAAUUUCACACCCAGUUUUGCCUCCAAUAAACCUGGAUACAUUACACUCCUGAUGAAGCAUCUCAACCUGAAAUGUCAACUGUUUAUUUCCCUCCGUAGAUGCUGCCUGACCUGCUGAGUUCCUCCAGCAUUUUGUGUGUGUUGCUCCAGAUUCCAGCGUCUGCAGAAUCUCUUGUGUCUACAUUACACACUGUCUUAUUUUCUUUAAUUAAUAUAUAUUACAAAUAAGUGAAGGUAAACACUAAUCUCUGUGGCACCUUGUUAAUAAUAUUCUGCCAACCUGUAAAUGACCUGUUUAUUCCUACUCUCUGUCUAAUCAGUUCUCUCUUUGUUAAUAUAUUACUCCCAUCCCUGUCAGCCCUUAUU